GCGCCCGUAAGCUCAAUCGGUAGAGCGGUGGAACGGUGAUCCACAGACCCGGGUUCACGUCCCGACGGUCGCU
Phthorimaea operculella (potato tuberworm) is the source of this 73-nucleotide non-coding RNA. The record is from the annotation of a GenBank genome assembly. NCBI's taxonomy places the organism in Eukaryota, Metazoa, Arthropoda, Insecta, Lepidoptera, Gelechiidae.